CAAUAGCGUAUAUUAAAGUUGUUGCGGUUAAAAAGCAUCGUAGUUGGAUUUCUGCCGAGGACGACCGGUCCGCCCACUGGGUGAGUAUCUGGCUCGGCCUGGGCAUCCUCUUGGAGAACGUUACUGCACUUAGACUGUGUGGUGCGGUAUCCAGGACUUUUACUUUGAAGGAAUUAGAGUGUUUCAAGCAGGCACACGCCUUGAAUACAUUAGCAUGGAAUAAUAAGAUAGGACCUCGGUUCUAUUUUGUUGGUUUCUAGAGCUGAGGUAAUGAUUAAUAGGGAUAGUUGGGGCGAUUCGGUAUUUAACUGUCAGAGGUGAAAUUCUUGGAUUUAUGAAAGACGAACUUCUGCGAAAGCAUUUGCCAAGGAUGUUUUCAUUAAUCAAGAACGAAAGUUAGGGGAUCGAAGACGAUCAGAUACC
This 423-nucleotide ribosomal RNA is filed under the name uncultured eukaryote. Its description in RNAcentral is "SSU rRNA". It matches the Rfam family "Eukaryotic small subunit ribosomal RNA", at positions 592 to 1016 of the family's 1831-position model. The record is from RNAcentral.